GAUGAACGCUGGCGGCGUGCCUAAUACAUGCAAGUCGAGCGAACAGAUGAGGAGCUUGCUCCUCUGACGUUAGCGGCGGACGGGUGAGUAACACGUGGAUAACCUACCUAUAAGACUGGGAUAACUUCGGGAAACCGGAGCUAAUACCGGAUAAUAUAUUGAACCGCAUGGUUCAAUAGUGAAAGACGGUUUUGCUGUCACUUAUAGAUGGAUCCGCGCCGCAUUAGCUAGUUGGUAAGGUAACGGCUUACCAAGGCAACGAUGCGUAGCCGACCUGAGAGGGUGAUCGGCCACACUGGAACUGAGACACGGACCAGAGUCCUACGGGAGGCAGCAGUAGGGAAUCUUCCGCAAUGGGCGAAAGCCUGACGGAGCAACGCCGCGUGAGUGAUGAAGGUCUUCGGAUCGUAAAACUCUGUUAUUAGGGAAGAACAAAUGUGUAAGUAACUAUGCACGUCUUGACGGUACCUAAUCAGAAAGCCACGGCUAACUACGUG
RNAcentral lists this ribosomal RNA (497 nucleotides) under uncultured bacterium. RNAcentral describes it as "partial 16S ribosomal RNA". It matches the Rfam family "Bacterial small subunit ribosomal RNA", at positions 28 to 507 of the family's 1533-position model. The record is from RNAcentral.